GCCGCUGUGGCGGAACGGCAGACGCGGAGCACUCAAAAUGCUUUGUCCUUCACGGGCGUGUGGGUUCGAAUCCCACCAGCGGCACAACCG
Molecule: transfer RNA, 90 nt
Filed under: Leifsonia xyli subsp. xyli str. CTCB07
Lineage: Bacteria; Bacillati; Actinomycetota; Actinomycetes; Micrococcales; Microbacteriaceae
Description: tRNA-Leu
Rfam family: tRNA
About the family: Transfer RNA (tRNA) molecules are approximately 80 nucleotides in length.
Source: RNAcentral